Molecule: long non-coding RNA, 680 nt
Organism: Chinchilla lanigera (long-tailed chinchilla)
Lineage: Eukaryota; Metazoa; Chordata; Mammalia; Rodentia; Chinchillidae
Exons: 3
Source: RefSeq, a predicted model, not a curated record
CAAGCCCAAGCCCUCAGAGUCCACCGUCGAGCCUCUUUCCAGCCCGUCCCUUUGAGCUUUCCUCCCUGGGGCCCCAGGGCUCACCGACUUCACAUCCGUUCACAGCCCCUCCUGUGCGGCUGAGCGCCGUGGUUAUCCGGCGCCCGUCUCGUCUACACACCGGCUCACCGUACCAGAGCGCGCUGGUUUGUACUCACUUGGCACGACCCCAACCCAGUGAGAUUUUACAUUUAUUAAAGGAAAAGAAAUAUGCUCUGCAGAGCGAGUCUGGACCAACUAAAGGCAGGAAGAGAAAUCCACUCUGCAGGGGGAGAGAGGGCUGGUGAGCAGACUGACACCAACUACGAGGUCAGGGACAGGAGACGCCACAGCUAGCAGAGCCACUGCUCUACCGAGAGACGCCUGAGGCUCGUGUUAGGCAACAUGCAGCUGAGCAGAAUUUCUGGUCCUGAGCCUGGAGCUGGCAGCAAGCUCAGAGCAUUCAUCGGAGGCAUGGCCAUGGUGUUCUCCCUCCUGUGCCUUGAGAACAGACUACAGUUGCCAUGGAGAUGGGAAAUCUGAGUUGGGCUUGCUGUGUGACCUUGAGCAUGUUACACCUCGUCUCUGGGCCUCUGUCCCAGCACUGUGUUAAUCAAGAUCUCAGCUCUGGGCUGGGAUCAAAGCCCUCUUUCGUCACUUGC